AACGCNGGCGGCAGGCUUAACACAUGCAAGUCGAGCGGGNGUAGCAAUACGUCAGCGGCAGACGGGUGAGUAACGCGUGGGAACGUACCUUUUGGUUCGGAACAACACAGGGAAACUUGUGCUAAUACCGGAUAAGCCCUUACGGGGAAAGAUUUAUCGCCGAAAGAUCGGCCCGCGUCUGAUUAGCUAGUUGGUGAGGUAAUGGCUCACCAAGGCGACGAUCAGUAGCUGGUCUGAGAGGAUGAUCAGCCACAUUGGGACUGAGACACGGCCCAAACUCCUACGGGAGGCAGCAGUGGGGAAUAUUGGACAAUGGGCGCAAGCCUGAUCCAGCCAUGCCGCGUGAGUGAUGAAGGCCCUAGGGUUGUAAAGCUCUUUUGUGCGGGAAGAUAAUGACGGUACCGCAAGAAUAANCCNCGGNUAACUUCNNGCC
RNAcentral lists this ribosomal RNA (433 nucleotides) under Bradyrhizobiaceae bacterium N162. RNAcentral describes it as "bacterial SSU rRNA". It matches the Rfam family "Bacterial small subunit ribosomal RNA", at positions 32 to 509 of the family's 1533-position model. Lineage: Bacteria; Pseudomonadati; Pseudomonadota; Alphaproteobacteria; Hyphomicrobiales; Nitrobacteraceae. The record is from RNAcentral.